Molecule: long non-coding RNA, 513 nt
Filed under: Chinchilla lanigera (long-tailed chinchilla)
Lineage: Eukaryota; Metazoa; Chordata; Mammalia; Rodentia; Chinchillidae
Description: lncRNA (ENSCLAG00000026080.1)
Source: RNAcentral
GGGAGGCUUGGUAACUUGCCUACCUCACGCUAUUAUUAAGAACAAUAACUGAAGUCCAGAUGUGCGUGGCUGCAAAGCAUCUGAAUCCCGAAAGCUCUUCAUGGACCAGUUCGGCUCCUUCGACCUCCGAUUCUCCCCUGAUGAAGGGUUAUUUACGUGGCUGCCUGUUUUAUGUUUUAGGCUGUCAAAAUCAGCACCAUUCUACAACGUUAAGUCAAAGAGACCAACUCUUCCCUCUGGGUCACGACAAUCGAGGAUGCUUUCAGUCUGUGGAAAUUUACAAGUGACAGCAGAACAGCAGACCUACGCCCUCCAACUAGAAAUCUUGCUCCAGGUCUUAACUGGGACCAUAAUUUAGUAAAUACAUAAUUUAAUGUGAAGAACUUUAAAUUUAGCCUAUCAGGUACCUUUAAAACUAUAAUAUUAAAUAAGAUCAUUUUUUAUAAACUCAGGUACGCAAAGAAUCAAGUAACAUUUGUAGACGGAGAUAUUUAUAUUAGCUGAGUCAUCGGC